This 253-nucleotide ribosomal RNA is filed under the name uncultured bacterium. RNAcentral's name for it is "partial 16S ribosomal RNA". It matches the Rfam family "Bacterial small subunit ribosomal RNA", at positions 524 to 776 of the family's 1533-position model. The record is from RNAcentral.
UACGGGGGGGGCAAGCGUUGUUCGGAAUUACUGGGCGUAAAGGGCGCGUAGGCGGCCUUCUAAGUCAGACGUGAAAUCCCUCGGCUCAACCGAGGAACUGCGUCUGAUACUGGAAGGCUUGAAUCCGGGAGAGGGAUGUGGAAUUCCAGGUGUAGCGGUGAAAUGCGUAGAUAUCUGGAGGAACACCGGUGGCGAAGGCGGCAUCCUGGACCGGUAUUGACGCUGAGGAGCGAAAGCUAGGGGAGCAAACGGG